UUCAAAUUGUGUAGAAAUCCAUGUUGAGCCUAACUCAUAGACUUCAUAUGACCAUGCAAAAGGGAACCUUCAUGAAUAUGUUAUUAGGCACCUGAUCUCAUUGCCAUUCAUCCUUUUUGUGUCCUUGCUUGUUGGAAGAUGUGAAUCUUGUGAUUGGUUCAAACCAGUGGAAAUAUUAGAGAACUGACUUAGAUAUGCAUAGGAUAUUGAAAGGACAGAAAUGUAUGCCUUAAAGUAUUACCAUUAUUAUUAGAUUUAUAAUUUUAAUUUUUUCUUCUUGUUUUAGAAGGGUGAAUUGUUGAGAGGUCUCUGAGACUCGAAGGAAAGUAGAAAGUAAAUGUGUGUAGGUUUCACCAAAAGAUCAGAGAGGGAAAUCCAUUAGCAAAUAAAAGCAAAUAGGAAGAGGACAUUAUUGCAAGCAAAACUGGCAAAAAAAAAAAAAAGGAUCAAGGCCAGAAAUGGUCAAAUGACCCUUCGAAAAGUGAGAAAUGUUUUUAAAAAAGCACAUUGGACCUAUUUUUAUUUUACUGGGGCCAACGGAAAUAGAUAGGAACAUAUGAUCGAAACAGGUGGGAUUUAGUUGUUUUUCAAAAUUUUAACAAGUAAAAAGGGGCAUGUUUUUGGUCCAAUUAGUAGCAUUAAGAUGAGUUUAAUGUUCAGGCUUCCUGGGAUUUGUGCCUUCAAUUUAUACGGUUUGCUGAUAAAGAAGAAAAUCAAUUUCAUUUUAUUCCAUUUCCCAGGGAAAUAGCAAAAAGCUUCGGGAUUUGGGGGCGGUGGGGCUUUUUAAUUAGGACUAUUAUAGAAACACGUUAAAGCACCAAAUAGCAAACCUGAAAAUUAUCUCUCAGGGAUAGAGUGUGGAUGAUGGUUAGGUUUAGAGGCAAAUAAUUAUUUUCAGUCUUCACAGCCCAAGGUGAUCAAAGCCACUUGCUCCUAACCCACACCAUGUGUCAUUGCCCUGCUGGCUCUGAAAUGACAAAUCAAGCUUCAUGAAGUGUGAGCUGCCAAGGCAUCCUCAGAGAGAUGAUGGGGGGCCAGAACAUGUUCGUGGAUAGGGAGGUGCAUGACCACGUAUGCUUCUGCCUUCAGACAGCCAGGCCUCUCAUAGGAGAGGCAGGAAAUGAGACAAGGAAAGAAGCAGCUGAAUCCUGCCUGGCCUUCAGCUGCAUCUCCACCGCAGAGGGCUAGUAGACGAGACCUGGCUGCCUGGAGAACUCCAUGCUCCUAACCUAGAACUAAAAUGGGCAGGAGCGCUUACUAAGUUUAGUUCUAUCUGGAAGCUCUCACCCAAAGCUUUAGCCUCAACAUUCCAGAAUAAGGACAAGACAAGCGUUACCCCCCUAACCGGUGAGAAGUAAGGAAUGUGCAGGUGCAAAAUUUUUUAUUGAUUUAUUUAUUUUAUUUUUUGUGUUUUUGCCUUUUCUAGGACUGCUCCCAUGGCAUAUGGAGGUUCUCAGGCUAGGGGUCGAAUUGGAGCUGUAGCCACCAGCCUACGCCACAGCCACAGCAACUCGAGAUCCAAGCCUCGUCUGCACCCUACACCACAGCUCACGGCAAUGGUGGAUCUUUAACCCACUGAGCAAGGGCAGGGGUUGAACCCACAAUCUCAUGGUUCCUAGUUAGAUUCGUUAACGACUGCGCCACGACGGGAACUCCUGUGCAGGUGCAAGAUAACAUCAACCUCGAAGCUUACAGCAGAAGUAGACCAGAUGAUCUUGCUUACAGCUUUUUAGUCUGGGAACUCAGGGUCAGCCCCCUGUUGGAAGGGUGUGGUAUGUGUGUGUGUGUGUGUGUGCAGGUUUGUGUGCUGUAUAGAGAGACCAACUGCAAAGCACGUUGCCUCAGGCCCAUGAUAAUUUUAGGGGGUCCACAAAAUAUUUAAUUUUUUUUAAUCAGGAGAAAAAUGAAAUAAAGUAAUAAUGAAUAUACAAUUAUGGAUCCCUCCGAGAUUAUAUUUGCCUCCAUAGCAAUGCAAUCUCAAAAUAUUUUGUGAUUUUUUUUUUUUUUUUUUAAAUGAAGGAGCCCAUGAAGGCAAAGUGUUGGGCCCAUGAAAGUCGUAAUGCAGCCCUGACUGACUGGACAACCUUGAGAGAGGCACUGACAGACUAACAGAGAUUGACAGAGGCAAAGACAGAACAGAGAGAGAUGAGACAGGAAGAUACAUGUGGAGUAAAGGACAGAGACAGAGAGAGGGAGAUAAGGAAGGACUUAGCAGGAGGGAGAGACAGGCAGAUAUAUGCAUAUGUAUGUGUACGCGUGCGCGCGCGCACACACACACACACACUCAAACAACUUAAUAGAUACAGUCAGAGGUAUCACAGGGCGUGUUCUGUUAGAAGGGGCCUGCUAUCACCUUAGUGUGGUGUUUUCAGCAUCCUAGGAUCAAACAUGUCUGAAGAGUUACAGGUCUCUCCAACCAUUCCCUUAUCUCCAGCCAUGGAGAAUCAGGUGAGAGAGAAGAGAGGGCCAGGCCUUCUUUUUUCCUGUGUUUCUUGUACACAACCCCGAGAGGGAGGUUUGUGCCCGUUCUUCCUUGGCUUUGAUCUUGGGUUGCACUCUUCCUCGUCAUGGGUGGCCUGAGAUUCAGCGGUCUUUCCCUUCUUCCAAAAAGUGCCAUUGUCAAUACUCGAAAGCCACUGAGCUCAUGGCUGUGCUUCAGCCAAGGCAGAUGGAAUUGCAAAAUUGAGUUGAGGCAAGAAGUGCCCCAGCCUGAGCCCUAGGACUGCUGCCUCAAUUGUGAAGGUACCAGGAGAGUGGGGCAAUUGGAACAUGAAGAGCUUGUCACUGAAUUGAAAAUCACACAGUUUCUUUUCCCUGAAAUUGUCUCUGGAAUAUAGGGUUGGCAGUUGUUUAUAAAAGGCCCAGUAAGAUACACACCAUUUGAAAUGCCCUACAAGCAACCCCAGUGAAAUGAAAUAAUUUACACUAAAAAGUGUAUAUACUUCAAUCUGCUCUGAAUUCUGGUCUUCUAAUCUUGCCAGCAGAUGGUUGUAGGAAGAAAUCAAUAAGAAAGAAAAAAAAGAGAAGUUAUUAAACCGGAACAAGCUCGGCCUUUAUACCUUUCAGGGCCAGAGAGGACGCAGUAGGCAGGGGUAUGGUGCCGGCCUUGAGGAGCAACUGCGUUCAUGUCCUUGGUUGUGAAAAAGUGUUUUUAGGGGAAGUAAUUUCUUAUUUUGCACCAAUGAUCCCAGCAUGUGUCUGUUUGUACGUUCCUUCAUAGCCGCUAUUCAGCAUCAUUAGGGAGAGAAUUUGCUUUGUUAAGACAGUAAGGGUGGUUGAAGUUAUUUAUAAAUUUGCUUUUUGUCAGUUGUAGGUUAUUUUUCUGCCAUUUGUUGACAACAGCAGAGUAUAGGAUGGUGCAUAAAUUCCAUCAGAAAUUAAGUUAUAUGCUCACAUGCAACUGAAGCCUCCUCCCUUCCCAAGCUAACAGCUCUUCUGAUUUUUGAUUCAUUUUAGUAGGUGUGAGAAGCUCAUUUGUUUAGAAGAUGAAUAGUUUAUCUAGGAUCAUCUGGUGGCAGCAGGUUAAUUAAAAAGUGCCUCUGUCAUCUCGAGCCCAAAUUGUGGGUGUUGUAAAAGCCAGCCUGCUUUAUACUGUCCUGUGGGAAAUGUACACAGUGAUGCCCAAAGAGUUUAAGCAUUGUUAACAGUGAGUCCCUUGGGCAAGUCUGUUCUUAUUCCACAUUAUACAGACAUAAAGAGCAUCUGCUAGUUUCCUCUUUCCUGAUUACAGGCACUUUUUAUAAUGCAAUAAAAAAGUGAUUGUUUGCACUUUUGCAAACUGUAGCUGACAACACUAAGUGUACCAUAUUGUCACUGCAAUCUUUGAAGUGGGAAUACUGUUAUUCACUCCAUUUUUAGAUGAAGAAACUGAGGCAUGGAGUUCCCAUUGUGGCUCAGCCGAAAUGAACCUGACUAGUAUCCACGAGGACACAGGUUCGUUCCCUGGCCUCCCUCAGUGAGUUAAGGACCUGGUGUUGCCGUGAGCUGUGGUGUAGGUUGCAGAUGCGUCUUGGAUCCUUUGUUGCUGUGGCUGUGGUGUAGGCAGGCAGCUGUAGCUCUGAUUCAACCCCUAGACUGGGAACCUCCAUAUGCCAUGGGUUCGGCCCUUAAAAAAAAAAAAAAGAAAGGAACCAAGGCACAGAGUUGUUAAGUAAUUUAUCCAAGGCUGCACAGAAGAGCUGGAAUUAGCCAUCAGCCUCUCUUAGGAGCCCUGCUCUUAUUGCCUCCACUCCACUGCUCUUCUCAGAGGUAGCACAGGAAAUUACAUUUCCAGCUCUCUCUUGAGAGGGUAUUGAUUCCUUAUUCGACUGAGGAGGCAGGCUCUUCUGCUUAUGAGGAUUUUUAUCUGCUUUUUAGCCCAUGAGCCUAAGCCAGGACUGUUGUCUAGAAGCUUUGGAGUAAAGGAAAGUGUAAAAUUACUGUGGAAACUCAGAGCUGGUAUGUUGAUUAUUUUAUCCUCUCCAACCUUAUGUCCAGUGUUGAAGUUUUGUUUAGUCCUGUGGUCCAGUUUCUGCUUUCAGACUGAUCAAAACAAAGCUCCCCCUCACCACUCCCAAUAGAUGCCUUGGUCUGCACAGUCUAAACCGCAAACCACAUCAGAUGCCAGUGCCCCAAACAUGCCACCCCAUCAGGCACUCUUUGCUGGCCCCUGGGCAAAGUACCUAGAAGUGGAAGCCCUUAGUCAGGCCUUCCCACCAGGGAACAGGGGACUCAGAUGGAACUGCACACAGGACCAUCAAGUCAACCCCUGCUGCAGAGAACUUCAGAUGGGCAGUGUGCUCUGUAUGUGUGGGGCAGCUCCAACGAGGGAGAAAUCAGAUCUGGCUGAGUAGGUGGGGUUCUCCAAGGAAUUGGUCUUUUCUGAGGUAGGAGGAGACUGGAUUUGAGGUAGACCCUCAAAAGUAGGUUGGACCUGGAUGACCAGAGAGAAGAACAUUGCAUGGGCAGAGGUGUGUGCGUGAGCAUCUGGGAAGGUAAGAGAUGGGCUAUGGCCAGAGGCAGGGAGGGAGCACUGUUUUAGGAGUCUCAGGUGAUGAGAUGGGAAAGGUACAGGUGACCCAGGGAGCUCCCCCACAGGGAGCAGGAGAACAUAAACUUUGCUCAUCGGUAUAUGAAGGCAUGGGGCUCAAAAUCUGAUUUUUGUGUACAGCGUGUGGAACCAGUCUUCGC
This 5169-nucleotide long non-coding RNA is filed under the name Sus scrofa (pig). RNAcentral's name for it is "lncRNA (ENSSSCG00015027793.1)". Lineage: Eukaryota; Metazoa; Chordata; Mammalia; Artiodactyla; Suidae. The record is from RNAcentral.